CCAAGGUUUCCGCACCCACGUUCGUCGUGUGCGGGUUAGGCGAUCCUAAGGUCAGUCCCAUUUAAGUGGGAGUAGCUGAUGGAUUACUGGUUAAUAUUCCAGUCCUUGGUGGUAUUCAUUUGACUUGGGGGGUGACGGUAUAGGAUAAGUUGUGUGAAAAUAUGAAUUUUUCAUCUAAGCAUCAAAGCAGGAUUCUACUAGCAAAUCUGAGAGUCCGUUUAUCUGAGGUGUGAUGGGACUGCUGGUUACGACCGGUGGUUACAACUGAUUUCUGUAUCCUGGAAAAACCUCGCAAGGAGAAUGCCAUCAAAUCGUACCGAUAACCGACACUGGUGGGCAGGUCGAGUAGACCAAGGAGAGCGAGAGAAGGUAGUUUAAGGAACUAGGCAAAUCAGCUGGGCGUAAUUUAGAAAGAUGCCCCGCCCCGCUUUAAUCAGCGGGGCCGCAGUGAAUGAUAUGAGAUCGACUGUUUACCAAAAACACAGGUCUGUGCUAACUCGUAAGAGGAUGUAUACGGGCUGAAGCCUGCCCAGUGCUGGAAGGUUAACUGCGUGGGUGUUGCGGAGCAAUCCGUAAUGCCUACAAUGGAAGCCCCAGUGAACGGCAGCAGUAACUAUAACUGUUCUAUGGUAGCGAAGUACCUUGUCGCUUAAUUGGCGACGCGCACGAAAGGUUUAACGAGUCUCAUGCUGUCUUGAACUGCUACUCGGCGAAGUUGAAAUGGCCGUGAAGAUGCGGCCUAUUGGUGGAAGGACAAAAAGACCCCAUGAAGCUUUACUACAACUUGACACUGAUUUUGUAUGAUGAGUUGUCUAGCAUAGGCGGGAGAUUCUUGAUUUUCUUGAAUCAACAGUGUAAUACCGCUCGCUUGUCAUACGAAAUCUUACCGGAGCCAACUGCAAACGUUGGCAGGGACCCUGUUUGGUGGGUAGUUUAACUGGGGAGGUUGCUUGCUAAAAGGUAACGCAAGCGCGCAAAGGUACCCUUAGCCUGGAUGGAAAUCAGGCUAGACGUGCAAUAGCAUAUGGGUGCUUAACUGUGAGGCAUACAAGCCGAGCAGAUGCGAAAGCAGGUUAUAGUGAUCCUCGAACACUUUGUGGAAGGUGUCGGGCUUAUCGGAUAAAAGCUACUCUGGGGAUAACAGAGUCAUUGUGCCUAAGCGUUCCUAGCGUCGGCACAGUUUGCUACCUCGAUGUCGGCUCAUCGCAUCCUGGGGCUGUAGCAGGUCCCAAGGGUUAGUCUGUUCGCCUAUUAAAGCGGUACGCGAGCUGGGUUCAGACCGUCGUAAGACAGGUCGGUUUCUAUCCUCCAUCAACGUUAGAAAUUUGCGGAAUUUUGUCCCUAGUACGAGAGGACCGGGAUGAGGAAACCUCUAGUGUUCCUGUUGUUGCUGUCAAGCGCAUUGCAGGGUAGCUACGUUUCUUGUGGAUAACCGCUGAAAGCAUCUAAGCGGGAAGCCCUAUCCAAGAUUAAAUUUCUCUAUAUAGAAUCCUGGGAGACUACCAGGUUGAUAGGUGAGAGGUGUAAGUCUGGUGACAGAUUAAGCUUACUCAUACUAAGUUGUCAAUUGAACAUUUAUA
This 1580-nucleotide ribosomal RNA is filed under the name bacterium. Its description in RNAcentral is "partial 23S ribosomal RNA". It matches the Rfam family "Bacterial large subunit ribosomal RNA", at positions 1345 to 2925 of the family's 2925-position model. The record is from RNAcentral.